CUGCUUUUCCAAGUUUCCCUUCCUUUUGGAAUGACUUUACUAGUGACUGCGGAAGGAUCUGCGUCCGUAAGACUUAGCAAGGAGCAGUGCAUCUCUGUGCACGUCAGCGGAAGGAUUCAUCCACACUCAGACGCUGCUUCUCCGUGGGGGAAUUCAUUCUUCCGUGAGAGAGCAGCCGGCUCAGAGUUGGGGACGAUACUUGAGGACCAGAAUCUGGAGGACGCUGUUAUCAUUCCUUGAUUGUGUGAGGGUGGCUGUGGAAUAGACCAACAAAAGCAGUGUUUAAAAUGAGCGCUGACAAGCUUGGAUGACUGUGUAAAUAUGAAUCUAAGUUGUGGAAGGUGACUUCUAAAAGCUGUGAUCUGAAAAUCAGCAGACAUCCAACUAAGUUCACCAUAUACUGUAAGAACACCAGGAUGAAUGACAAUGUUAUGGUGAAGCCUAAGGACUAAUAUGUGAAGAAAUAAUGCAAAUAAAUGAAAAUAUGAAUCAUGAGUAGUGACAAGAUUCCACUGAGGAAAUUUAUUUGAAGCAUUUGGGGAAAAUUUUCAGCUGAGGUGAAUUAGAGGACUGAGAAGCCUAUGAAAGCCCCACUAAACAUUGUGUGUUACAAUCCACUAAGAACACUGGAAGACACAUGGAUCUGAACAAAUCCUACAAUGACUUUCCUUCCACAGAAAAUAUUUCAGCACACAGAGAAGAACCAUGGAGAUUAACCCUGGAGGAAAUGUGGAAAAGCCCAGAGAUACAAGGGAACAGUGUCUGGGGGAUGCUUUGAAAUGUAUCACACUUCUUGGAAACAGAAACCAGUCACUCCAGAGAGAACAAAGACCUGCUCUUUCCUGUCUCGCCCUCAGUCAUAGCCAGUCAUCUGCCUCCAUCACACUCCUCCAGCCCUUAUAAACCUCACCCAGCCAAGCCCUGGUUGCUGCUCUCACCAUUGUUCGAGACAGCCUGGCAGCUCUGUCCCUUAAUAAAAGCUCUGCUUUGGGUGUUCGUGUUUCACCUCAUUUUAUUUCUCUCAUUAUUGGUGCUGAACAGCGGGGAGGGAUGUGAUUGGGAUUUUGCGAGGGUCCCCCCACUGGCCAAGGUUGAUUGGCCUCCUGACUGCCCUUGUCGGACCCUGCCAAGCCAACACCCUACCAGGAG
Molecule: long non-coding RNA, 1149 nt
Organism: Heterocephalus glaber (naked mole-rat)
Lineage: Eukaryota; Metazoa; Chordata; Mammalia; Rodentia; Bathyergidae
Source: Ensembl